UAGGGAAUAUUGGUCAAUGGAUGGAAGUCUGAMCCAGCCAUGCCGCGUGCAGGAAGACGGCCUUCUGGGUUGUAAACUGCUUUUGCCAGGGGAUAAAAGGCCCAUGCGUGGGACAUUGAAGGUACCUGGUGAAUAAGCCACGGCUAACUACGUGCCAGCAGCCGCGGUAAUACGUAGGUGGCGAGCGUUGUCCGGAUUUAUUGGGUUUAAAGGGUGCGUAGGCGUCCCUGCAAGUUUUAGGUGAAAUGCCCAAGCUCAACUUGGGAGCUGCCUGAAAAACUGCCGGGAUUGAGUACAGAUGAGGUAGGCGGAAUUGACGGUGUAGCGGUGAAAUGCAUAGAUAUCGUCAAGAACACCGAUAGCGAAGGCAGCUUACUAGGCUGUAACUGACGCUGAUGCACGAAAGUGUGGGGAUCAAACAGGAUUAGAUACCCUGGUAGUCCACACUGUAAACGUUGAUGACUCGCUGUUGGCGAUAUACAGUCAGCGGCCAAGCGAAAGCGAUAAGUCAUC
RNAcentral lists this ribosomal RNA (513 nucleotides) under uncultured bacterium. Its description in RNAcentral is "bacterial SSU rRNA". It matches the Rfam family "Bacterial small subunit ribosomal RNA", at positions 355 to 869 of the family's 1533-position model. The record is from RNAcentral.